RNAcentral lists this ribosomal RNA (399 nucleotides) under Francisella tularensis. Its description in RNAcentral is "partial 23S ribosomal RNA". It matches the Rfam family "Bacterial large subunit ribosomal RNA", at positions 2164 to 2569 of the family's 2925-position model. The record is from RNAcentral. Lineage: Bacteria; Pseudomonadati; Pseudomonadota; Gammaproteobacteria; Thiotrichales; Francisellaceae.
AGCUACGCCAGUAGUUGUGGAGUCGUCCUUGAAAUACCACCCUUGAAUAUUUGAAGUUCUAACUCAGGAGAGAUUCGAGGACAGUGUAUGGUGGGUAGUUUGACUGGGGCGGUCUCCUCCUAAAGAGUAACGGAGGAGUACGAAGGUGCACUCGGUACGGUCGGAAAUCGUGCCAAGAGUAUAAAGGCAAAAGUGCGCUUGACUGCGAGAGUGACGGCUCGAGCAGGUACGAAAGUAGGUCUUAGUGAUCCGGUGGUCCCGAAUGGAAGGGUCAUCGCUCAACGGAUAAAAGGUACUCCGGGGAUAACAGGCUAAUUCCUCCCAAGAGUUCAUAUCGACGGAGGAGUUUGGCACCUCGAUGUCGGCUCAUCACAUCCUGGGGCUGAAGUAGGUCCCAAG